CCUACGGGGGGCAGCAGUGAGGAAUAUUGGUCAAUGGGCGAGAGCCUGAACCAGCCAAGUCGCGUGAGGGAGUACUGCCCUAUGGGUUGUAAACCUCUUUUGUCGGGGAGCAAAAGCCGGACGUGUCCGGCUGUGAGAGUACCCGAAGAAAAAGCAUCGGCUAACUCCGUGCCAGCAGCCGCGGUAAUACGGGGGAUGCGAGCGUUAUCCGGAUUUAUUGGGUUAAAAGGGGGCGCAGGCGGAUUUUUAAGUCAGCGGUAAAAUCGUGGGGCUCAACCCCAUCCAGCCGGUGAAACUGGGGAUCUAGAGUGUGCGAGAGGUAUGCGGAAUGCGUGGUGUAGCGGUGAAAUGCAUAGAUAUCACGCAGAACCCCGAUUGCGAAGGCAGCAUACCGGUGCACAACUGACGCUCAGGCACGAAAGCGUGGGUAUCGAACAGGAUUAGAUACCCGAGUAGUC
Molecule: ribosomal RNA, 458 nt
Filed under: uncultured bacterium
Lineage: Bacteria
Description: partial 16S ribosomal RNA
Rfam family: Bacterial small subunit ribosomal RNA
Source: RNAcentral